This 420-nucleotide ribosomal RNA is filed under the name bacterium. RNAcentral's name for it is "partial 16S ribosomal RNA". It matches the Rfam family "Bacterial small subunit ribosomal RNA", at positions 355 to 776 of the family's 1533-position model. The record is from RNAcentral.
UGGGGGAUAUUGCACAAUGGGCGAAAGCCUGAUGCAGCGACGCCGCGUGGGGGAUGAAGGCUUUCGGGUUGUAAACCUCUUUCGCUAUCGAACAAGGCCCGCUUAGGGUGGGUUGAGGGUAGGUGGAGAAGAAGCGCCGGCUAACUACGUGCCAGCAGCCGCGGUAAUACGUAGGGCGCGAGCGUUGUCCGGAAUUAUUGGGCGUAAAGGGCUUGUAGGUGGCUUGUUGCGCCUGCUGUGAAAACGCGGGGCUUAACUUCGCGCGUGCAGUGGGUACGGGCAGGGUUGCGUGUGGUAGGGGUGACUGGAAUUCCAGGUGUAGCGGUGGAAUGCGCAGAUAUCUGGAGGAACGCCGAUGGCGAAGGCAGGUCACUGGGCCAUUACUGACGCUGAGGAGCGAAAGCAUGGGUAGCGAACAGG